GACGAACGCUGGCGGCGUGCCUAAUACAUGCAAGUAGAACGCUGAAGGAGGAGCUUGCUUCUCUGGAUGAGUUGCGAACGGGUGAGUAACGCGUAGGUAACCUGCCUGGUAGCGGGGGAUAACUAUUGGAAACGAUAGCUAAUACCGCAUAAUAGUAGAUGUUGCAUGACAUUUGCUUAAAAGGUGCAAUUGCAUCACUACCAGAUGGACCUGCGUUGUAUUAGCUAGUUGGUGGGGUAACGGCUCACCAAGGCGACGGUACAUAGCCGACCUGAGAGGGUGAUCGGCCACACUGGGACUGAGACACGGCCCAGACUCCUACGGGAGGCAGCAGUAGGGAAUCUUCGGCAAUGGACGGAAGUCUGACCGAGCAACGCCGCGUGAGUGAAGAAGGUUUUCGGAUCGUAAAGCUCUGUUGUAAGAGAAGAAUGAGUGUGAGAGUGGAAAGUUCACACUGUGACGGUAUCUUACCAGAAAGGGACGGCUAACUACGUG
Molecule: ribosomal RNA, 495 nt
Filed under: uncultured bacterium
Lineage: Bacteria
Description: partial 16S ribosomal RNA
Rfam family: Bacterial small subunit ribosomal RNA
Source: RNAcentral